RNAcentral lists this ribosomal RNA (829 nucleotides) under uncultured Acidobacteriota bacterium. Its description in RNAcentral is "bacterial SSU rRNA". It matches the Rfam family "Bacterial small subunit ribosomal RNA", at positions 58 to 921 of the family's 1533-position model. Lineage: Bacteria; Pseudomonadati; Acidobacteriota. The record is from RNAcentral.
CAAGUCGAACGAGAAAGUGGAGCAAUCCAUGAGUACAGUGGCGUACGGGUGAGUAACACGUGACUAACCUACCUCCGAGUGGGGAAUAACCCCGGGAAACCGGGGCUAACACCGCAUAAUACCGCAAGGUCAAAUGCGCAAGCAGCUUGGAGAGGGGGUCGCGGUUGAUUAGCUAGUUGGUGGGGUAAUGGCCCACCAAGGCGAUGAUCAAUAGCCGGCCUGAGAGGGCGCACGGCCACACUGGAACUGAAACACGGUCCAGACUCCUACGGGAGGCAGCAGUGGGGAAUUUUGCGCAAUGGGGGAAACCCUGACGCAGCAACGCCGCGUGGAGGAUGAAGUCCCUUGGGAUGUAAACUCCUUUCGAUCGGGACGAUAAUGACGGUACCGGAAGAAGAAGCCCCGGCUAACUCUGUGCCAGCAGCCGCGGUAAUACAGAGGGGGCAAGCGUUGUUCGGAAUUAUUGGGCGUAAAGGGCGCGUAGGCGGUGCGGUAAGUCUGUAGUGAAAUCUCUGGGCUCAACUCAGAGUCUGCUAUAGAAACUGCCGUGCUUGAGUGUGGGAGAGGUGAGUGGAAUUCCCGGUGUAGCCCUGAAAUGCGUAGAUAUCGGGAGGAACACCUGUGGCGAAAGCGGCUCACUGGACCACAACUGACGCUGAGGCGCGAAAGCUAGGGGAGCAAACGGAUUAGAUACCCUGGUAGUCCUAGCCCUAAACGAUGGAUGCUUGGUGUAGCAGGUACCCAAUCCUGCUGUGCCGGAGCUAACGCGUUAAGCAUCCCGCCUGGGGAGUACGGUCGCAAGGCUGAACUCAAAGGAUUGACGGGGGCC